This is a non-coding RNA of Cynoglossus semilaevis (tongue sole), 278 nucleotides long. Ensembl annotates it as small Cajal body-specific RNA 6. Its record names the gene SCARNA6. NCBI's taxonomy places the organism in Eukaryota, Metazoa, Chordata, Actinopteri, Pleuronectiformes, Cynoglossidae. The record is from Ensembl.
GGUCAGUGAUGUUUUGUAAAAGGUCUGAUUCAGCUCCUCCUCCUCAGCCAUCAUCUUGGCUCCCAGCAGUCUCUCUCUCUUACUCCCAUCAUGCACCAGUUCAGCACUGAUGGUUUAAGAGGCUGCUGACACAUAGGGAGUUACAUCACAGUGUGAGUCUAUACAGAGACCCUAUAGAUUCAGAGUGAUGUGGGACCUCCAACAGGGCCAAUAGGUGUGGAGCUUGAGGCGGCUGUGGGGGAGGAGCCUAGAUGUGAUCUCACCCUGUUACUGAGGCC